AUCUUCUUAUUCUCUCUUCCACUCACAUACGCGCCGUGCCCAAACCCUUAUCUCCUUAAAAGGUAAAACCUAGAAAUUGAACUCCGUCACUGCUUUCAUCGCCACUAUCCUUAUAACGCGCUCCUUCACCUCCUGAUUUUCUAAUCUCCAUCUCCCUACUCGGAGACGACGAAGCAGUUAUAUCUCUCGGCGCUUGCUCCGGAAUGCUCUGGUUGAAGCCGGAUUUCCGAGGAGACGAUCAUCCUGGCCUCUUAGAGGCCACCUAGGCAGGAUCUGAAUCGACGAUCAUCCGGGCCUUGUAGCCGCCUCCGAGUAUCAGGCCGUGGUCCCCCCUACGUCUUUGAUCGGCGGACUCUUUUUCGUGCGUAUGUUUAUUCAGCUUUGCCUUAGAUUCCUCUUGUAUUCUCUUAUGUGUUUUUAGGUGUUUCUUUGUCUAUCGUUCAAUUGUUGUGUUCAAACAGGAUCUCCGAGUCCACAAUCAUCAAGGCCUUGCAGCCGCCUCCGAGAUUCAGAUUGUGGUCCUCUCUAUACUACUUCUGCUUUGUCUCCUAGAUUCCUCUUUUUUCCUUAUCUCGUAGGGUUUUAAGGUUUCUUUUAUCGUUCAAGUGUUUUGAAAUGUUUAACUAAAUUAAUGUGGAAUCGAAUGAGUCAUUGAAAUCAAAAUGCCUUGUAAUUUUAAAUUUGGAAAUUAUCACUUCGAAAACAACUCAGUAUCUCAAAAUCUGAGCUGAUACAGGCACACAUGUGUGAAGCCAAAAUUGAGUUGAGACACAGUAAUGUCUUGUUAUGCUUAGCCUAUGAUAAUUUUGCAAGAAUAGAUUAUUUUGAUUUGCAAAAUUUACUAGCAACUGCUUGGCAGGUUAAUUUUCAAGCAUUUAUAAAUGUAAUAAGAUUGCAUAUGGGAGCCAAAACAUUGUUAUGGCAUGAUAUGGUGCAGAAAGAGUUGUAUCUGGUGACUCUGAUGUGAUUUCUUAUUUUUAUUUGAAAUUCAUAUCGACUGAAUUUUCUGAUAA
Molecule: long non-coding RNA, 1013 nt
Organism: Tripterygium wilfordii
Lineage: Eukaryota; Viridiplantae; Streptophyta; Magnoliopsida; Celastrales; Celastraceae
Exons: 2
Source: RefSeq, a predicted model, not a curated record